Molecule: ribosomal RNA, 429 nt
Filed under: Acidobacteriota bacterium
Lineage: Bacteria; Pseudomonadati; Acidobacteriota
Description: Acidobacteria bacterium partial 16S ribosomal RNA
Rfam family: Bacterial small subunit ribosomal RNA
Source: RNAcentral
UGGGGAAUUUUGGACAAUGGGGGAAACCCUGAUCCAGCCAUCCCGCGUGUGCGAUGAAGGCCUUCGGGUUGUAAAGCACUUUUGGCAGGAAAGAAACGUCAUGGGUUAAUACCCCGUGAAACUGACGGUACCUGCAGAAUAAGCACCGGCUAACUACGUGCCAGCAGCCGCGGUAAUACGUAGGGUGCAAGCGUUAAUCGGAAUUACUGGGCGUAAAGCGUGCGCAGGCGGUUCGGAAAGAAAGAUGUGAAAUCCCAGAGCUCAACUUUGGAACUGCAUUUUUAACUGCCGGGCUAGAGUGUGUCAGAGGGAGGUGGAAUUCCGCGGGUAGCAGUGAAAUGCGUAGAUAUGCGGAGGAACACCGAUGGCGAAGGCAGCCUCCUGGGAUAACACUGACGCUCAUGCACGAAAGCGUGGGGAGCAAACAGG